GCUCCAGUAGCGUAUAUUAAAAUUGUUGCAGUUAAAAAGCUCGUAGUUGGACUUUGGAAGGGCGCCUUGGGUCCGCUCCGGUAAGGAGUGUGCACCAACGGUGGGCGGCGUCGGGCAACCGGCGUCGUCGUUAGCCGUCCUUUAGGCCGAGGCUCUCCAGGUUCCGUUGCUGGCCGCAAGGUUAGCCGGGCUGGGUCAAA
This 200-nucleotide ribosomal RNA is filed under the name uncultured eukaryote. Its description in RNAcentral is "partial 18S ribosomal RNA". The record is from RNAcentral.